RNAcentral lists this ribosomal RNA (468 nucleotides) under uncultured bacterium. RNAcentral describes it as "partial 16S ribosomal RNA". It matches the Rfam family "Bacterial small subunit ribosomal RNA", at positions 28 to 507 of the family's 1533-position model. The record is from RNAcentral.
GACGAACGCUGGCGGCGUGCUUAACACAUGCAAGUCGAACGGAAAGGCCCUGCUUUUGUGGGGUGCUCGAGUGGCGAACGGGUGAGUAACACGUGAGUAACCUGCCCUUGACUUUGGGAUAACUUCAGGAAACUGGGGCUAAUACCGGAUAGGAGCUCCUGCUGCAUGGUGGGGGUUGGAACGUUUCGGCGGUUGGGGAUGGACUCGCGGCUUAUCAGCUUGUUGGUGGGGUAGUGGCUUACCAAGGCUUUGACGGGUAGCCGGCCUGAGAGGGUGACCGGCCAAAUUGGGACUGAGAUACGGCCCAGACUACUACGGGAGGCAGCAGUGGGGAAUAUUGCACAAUGGGCGGAAGCCUGAUGCAGCAACGCCGCGUGCGGGAUGACGGCCUUCGGGUUGUAACCCGCUUUCGCCUGUGACGAAGCGUGAGUGACGGUAAUGGGUAAAGAAGCACCGGCUAACUACGUG